Molecule: ribosomal RNA, 253 nt
Filed under: uncultured bacterium
Lineage: Bacteria
Description: partial 16S ribosomal RNA
Rfam family: Bacterial small subunit ribosomal RNA
Source: RNAcentral
UACGUAGGGGGCAAGCGUUGUCCGGAAUCAUUGGGCGUAAAGCGCGUGUAGGCGGUUCGGUAAGUCCGCUGUGAAAGUCGGGGGCUCAACCCUCGGAUGCCGGUGGAUACUGUCGAGCUUGAGUACGGAAGAGGCGAAUGGAAUUCCUGGUGUAGCGGUGAAAUGCGCAGAUAUCAGGAGGAACACCAAUUGCGAAGGCAGCUCGCUGGGACGUUACUGACGCUGAGGAGCGAAAGCGUGGGGAGCAAACAGG